UACGUAGGGUCCAAGCGUUAUCCGGAAUCACUGGGCGUAAAGCGUGCGUAGGUGGAUUGUUAAGUGCGGUGCGAAAUCCUGUGGCUCAACCAUAUGGACUGUAUCGCAUACUGGCAACCUAGAGGACAUGAGAGGCAAGUGGAAUUACUGGUGUAGCAGUGAAAUGCGUAGAGAUCAGUAGGAACACCAAUGGCGAAGGCAGCUUGCUGGCAUGUAUCUGACGCUAAGGCACGAAAGCGUGGGGUAGCAAAACAGGG
Molecule: ribosomal RNA, 257 nt
Filed under: uncultured bacterium
Lineage: Bacteria
Description: partial 16S ribosomal RNA
Rfam family: Bacterial small subunit ribosomal RNA
Source: RNAcentral